UGGGGAAAUUGGACAAUGGGCGCAAGCCUGAUCCAGCAAUGCCGCGUGUGUGAAGAAGGCCUUCGGGUUGUAAAGCACUUUUAUCAGGAGCGAAACGCUGUCGGCUAAUACCCGGCGGAACUGACGGUACCUGAGGAAUAAGCACCGGCUAACUUCGUGCCAGCAGCCGCGGUAAUACGAAGGGUGCAAGCGUUAAUCGGAAUUACUGGGCGUAAAGCGUGCGUAGGCGGUUUCUUAAGUCUGCUGUGAAAUCCCCGGGCUCAACCUGGGAAUGGCAGUGGAUACUGGGAGGCUAGAGUGUGUCAGAGGGUGGUGGAAUUCCCGGUGUAGCGGUGAAAUGCGUAGAGAUCGGGAGGAACAUCAGUGGCGAAGGCGGCCACCUGGGACAACACUGACGCUGAGGCACGAAAGCGUGGGGAGCAAACAGGAUUAGAUACCCUGGUAGUCCACGCCCUAAAACNAUGCGAACUGGAUGUUGGUCUCAACUCGGAGAUCAGUGUCGAAGCUAACGCGUUAAGUUCGCCNCCUGGGGAGUACGGUCGCAAGACUGAAACUCAAAGGAAUUGACGGGGUCAUAGCUGUUUCC
This 586-nucleotide ribosomal RNA is filed under the name uncultured bacterium. RNAcentral's name for it is "partial 16S ribosomal RNA". It matches the Rfam family "Bacterial small subunit ribosomal RNA", at positions 356 to 937 of the family's 1533-position model. The record is from RNAcentral.